GAUUACCCGCUGAACUUAAGCAUAUCAAUAAGCGGAGGAAAAGAAACUAACAAGGAUUCCCCUAGUAACGGCGAGUGAAGCGGGAAGAGCUCAAAUUUGAAAGCUGGCGCCUUCGGCGUCCGCGUUGUAAUCUCGAGAAGUGUUUUCCGCGCUGGACCAUGUACAAGUUCCUUGGAAUAGGACGUCAUAGAGGGUGAAAAUCCCGUACUUGACAUGGACGCCCAGUGCUUUGUGAUACGCUCUCCACGAGUCGAGUUGUUUGGGAAUGCAGCUCAAAAUGGGUGGUAAAUUCCAUCUAAAGCUAAAUAUUGGGGAGAGACCGAUAGCGAACAAGUACCGUGAGGGAAAGAUGAAAAGCACUUUGGAAAGAGAGUUAAAUAGUACGUGAAAUUGUCGAAAGGGAAGCGCUUGAAGUUAGAUAUGCUAUUCGGGAUUCAGCCUUGCUUUUGCUUGGUGUAUUUCCCGGUUGGCAGGCCAGCAUCAGUUUUGGCUGUCGGAUAAGGGUAGGAGGAAUGUGGCCCCUCGGGGUGUUAUAGCCUCUUACUGGAUACGGCGGCUGGGACUGAGGACCGCAGUGCGCCUUUAUGG
This 588-nucleotide ribosomal RNA is filed under the name Parajaminaea albizii. RNAcentral describes it as "partial large subunit ribosomal RNA". It matches the Rfam family "Eukaryotic large subunit ribosomal RNA", at positions 19 to 608 of the family's 3401-position model. The record is from RNAcentral. Lineage: Eukaryota; Fungi; Basidiomycota; Exobasidiomycetes; Microstromatales.